GGCGGCCCCGCGGAGCCGGGCGGAGCGGCGGCGGCUCCAGGCGGGAGCGCUGCCCCGGGGAUCGGGGGAUACUCCAGGUAGGGAGCGCUGCCCCGGGGAUCGGGGGAUCCUCCAGGGGGAAGGCACCCCAGAAAAUCAGGCAGGAUGCUGUCAUUGCCAUUGGCUGGUGCUGUGUGGAGAACCAAAUCCUCAGAUGACAGAAACUGUCCUUGACCUGUUCCAGACAAUGGUUCUGCACCAGUUAUUGCCAGGGGAUCAUCUGCUUCAAGGUUCUAUGUAAUCUCAUUGGGCAACAGCAGUGGAACUAACUCGUC
Molecule: long non-coding RNA, 314 nt
Filed under: Catharus ustulatus (Swainson's thrush)
Lineage: Eukaryota; Metazoa; Chordata; Aves; Passeriformes; Turdidae
Description: lncRNA (ENSCUSG00005001713.1)
Source: RNAcentral